UGGUAUGUCUCUCACCGACUUCUAGAAUGC
RNAcentral lists this non-coding RNA (30 nucleotides) under Mus musculus (house mouse). The record is from RNAcentral. Lineage: Eukaryota; Metazoa; Chordata; Mammalia; Rodentia; Muridae.